Long non-coding RNA from Melitaea cinxia (Glanville fritillary), 129 nucleotides. RefSeq lists it as uncharacterized. The transcript is spliced from 3 exons. NCBI's taxonomy places the organism in Eukaryota, Metazoa, Arthropoda, Insecta, Lepidoptera, Nymphalidae. The record is from RefSeq and is a predicted model, not a curated record.
CGACAAAACCAGCCCUGCGGUCACCAACCCGUCUGCCCAGCGUGGUGACUAUGGGCAAAACACAUGAGUUCACGCCCUUUUUGCGUGAACUUGCGGAGGUUACCUGUGCAGUGGACUGUUAAAGGCUGA